UCAAGUAGAGAAGGGCGCACGGUGAAUGCCUAGGCACUGGAAGCCGAUGAAGGACGUGACAAACGACGAAAUGCUUCGGGGAGCGGUAAGUACGCAGAGAUCCGGAGAUAUCCGAAUGGGGGAACCCGGCACCGCGAGGUGUCACCUUGAAUGUGAAUAGAUAGCAUUAAGGAGGAAGACGCAGUGAACUGAAACAUCUAAGUAGCUGCAGGAAGAGAAAGAAAGAUCGAUUUCCCAAGUAGCGGCGAGCGAACAGGAAAGAGCCCAAACCUAAUGGCUUGCCAUUAGGGGUAGAAGGACUGUAAAAAGCCGAAUGGAAGGAUAGCAGAAUUAUCUGGGAAGAUAAGCCAAAGAGGGUGAGAGCCCCGUAAGCGAAAUCCGGAAACGAGGUGAGCAGGAUCCUGAGUAGGUCGGGACACGAGGAAUCCCGAUUGAAUCCGCGAGGACCAUCUCGCAAGGCUAAAUACUAACCAGUGACCGAUAGUGAACCAGUACCGUGAGGGAAAGGUGAAAAGAACCCCGGGAGGGGAGUGAAAGAGAACCUGAAACCGUGUGCCUACAAGUAGUCAGAGCACGUUAAAGUGUGAUGGCGUGCCUUUUGUAGAAUGAACCGGCGAGUUGCGUUGUGGUGCAAGGUUAAGUCAGAAAAGACGGAGCCGAAGCGAAAGCGAGUCUGAAGAGGGCGAGAUAGUAUCAUGACGCAGACCCGAAACCAAGUGACCUACCCAUGACCAGGUUGAAGGCGUGGUAAAACACGCUGGAGGACCGAACCCACGCAAGUUGAAAAUUGCGGGGAUGAGUUGUGGGUAGCGGUGAAAUUCCAAACGAACUUGGAGAUAGCUGGUUCUCUCCGAAAUAGCUUUAGGGCUAGCCUCGUGUGAAUGAUAAUGGAGGUAGAGCACUGUUUGGACUAGGGGCCCGUCAGGGGUUACUGAAUCCAGAUAAACUCCGAAUGCCAGAUAUCAAUGCACGGGAGUCAGACUGCGAGUGAUAAGAUCCGUAGUCGAAAGGGAAACAGCCCAGAUCACCGGUUAAGGUCCCAAAAUCUAUGCUAAGUGGAAAAGGAUGUGGAGUUGCACAGACAACUAGGAUGUUGGCUCAGAAGCAGCCACCAUUUAAAGAGUGCGUAAUAGCUCACUAGUCGAGUGACGCUGCGCCGAAAAUUUACCGGGGCUAAGCAUAGUACCGAAACCGUGGAUGCAGUUAACUGCGUGGUAGGAGAGCGUUCUAAAGGCGGAGAAGGCAGAUCGAGAGGACUGUUGGAGCGUUUAGAAGUGAGAAUGCCGGUAUAAGUAGCGAAAGACAGGUGAGAAUCCUGUCCGCCGAAAGACUAAGGUUUCCUGGGGCAGGCUCGUCCGCCCAGGGUAAGUCGGGACCUAAGGUAAGGCCGAGAGGCGUAGCCGAUGGACAACAGGUAGAUAUUCCUGUACUAUUCGUAAUCGAUAAGAGCGAAGGAGGGACGCAGGAGGCUAAUGACGCAUGGAGAUGGAAUCAUGUGUAAGCGUUAAGGGAGGAUACGAGUCAAAUGCUUGUAGCCAAUUUUGAGACGUGAUGCGGAGUGAAAUCAAAGUAGCGAAGGUCAUGAAGUCACACUGCCAAGAAAAGCUUCUAGCCAGAGAGCGAGUACCCGUACCGCAAACCGACACAGGUAGUCGAGGAGAGAAUCCUCAGGUGAGCGAGAGAACUCUCGUUAAGGAACUCGGCAAAAUAACCCCGUAACUUAGGGAGAAGGGGUGCUGAAGAGAAAUCAGCCGCAGUGAAGAGGCCCAAACAACUGUUUAUCAAAAACACAGGUAUCUGCAAAAUCGUAAGAUGACGUAUAGGUACUGACACCUGCCCGGUGCUGGAAGGUUAAGAGGAUAGCUUAGCGUAAGCGAAGGUUAGAAUUGAAGCCCCAGUAAACGGCGGCCGUAACUAUAACGGUCCUAAGGUAGCGAAAUUCCUUGUCGGGUAAGUUCCGACCUGCACGAAAGGCGCAACGACUUGGGCGCUGUCUCGACCAUGGACCCGGUGAAAUUGCACUGGUCGUGAAGAUGCGACUUACCCGCGGAAGGACGGAAAGACCCCGUGAACCUUCACUGCAGCUUGGCAUUGGCCGCUGGUCCCGCGUGUAGAGGAUAGGCAGGAGGCGCAGAUCCGGAGGCGCCAGCCCCCGGGGAGCCGCCCUUGGAAUACUGCCCUCGCGCGACCGGCGUCCUAACCCGAGGCCGUCGACCGGCUCGGGGACCGUGCCAGGCGGGCAGUUUGACUGGGGCGGUCGCCUCCUAAAGGGUAACGGAGGCGCGCGAAGGUCCGCUCGGGACGGUCGGCAACCGUCCUUUUGAAUGCAAGAGUACAAGCGGGCUUGACUGCGAGGCCCACAAGCCGAGCAGGUGCGAAAGCAGGCUCUAGUGAUCCGGCGGCCCCGAGUGGGUGGGCCGUCGCUCAACGGAUAAAAGGUACUCCGGGGAUAACAGGCUGAUCUUGCCCAAGAGUCCACAUCGACGGCAAGGUUUGGCACCUCGAUGUCGGCUCAUCGCAUCCUGGGGCUGGAGCAGGUCCCAAGGGUACGGCUGUUCGCCGUUUAAAGCGGUACGCGAGCUGGGUUCAGAACGUCGUGAGACAGUUCGGUCCCUAUCCUCCGUGGGCGCAGGAGAAUCGAUGGAGGCUGCCCCCAGUACGAGAGGACCGGGGUGGACGCACCUCCGGUGAACCGGUUGUCGACCAACGGCACGGCCGGGUAGCCGCGUGCGGCGCGGAUAACCGCUGAAGGCAUCUAAGCGGGAAGCCGUUCCAGGGAUUAGUUCUCCUUCCGGUAAGGGCCCAGGUAGACUACCUGGUCGAUAGACGGCAGGUGCAAGGACGGCGACGUCCUCAGCCGAGCCGCACUAAUCGCCCGAGCUCUUCCGGAA
RNAcentral lists this ribosomal RNA (2891 nucleotides) under human gut metagenome. RNAcentral describes it as "bacterial LSU rRNA". It matches the Rfam family "Bacterial large subunit ribosomal RNA". The record is from RNAcentral.